This 467-nucleotide ribosomal RNA is filed under the name uncultured bacterium. RNAcentral describes it as "partial 16S ribosomal RNA". It matches the Rfam family "Bacterial small subunit ribosomal RNA", at positions 29 to 507 of the family's 1533-position model. The record is from RNAcentral.
ACGCACGCUGGCGGCGUGCUUCACACAUGCACGUCGAACGGAAAGGCCCUGCUUUUGUGGGGUGCUCGAGUGGCGAACGGGUGAGUAACACGUGAGUAACCUGCCCUUGACUUUGGGAUAACUUCAGGAAACUGGGGCUAAUACCGGAUAGGAGCUCCUGCUGCAUGGUGGGGGUUGGAAAGUUUCGGCGGUUGGGGAUGGACUCGCGGCUUAUCAGCUUGUUGGUGGGGUAGUGGCUUACCAAGGCUUUGACGGGUAGCCGGCCUGAGAGGGUGACCGGCCACAUUGGGACUGAGAUACGGCCCAGACUCCUACGGGAGGCAGCAGUGGGGAAUAUUGCACAAUGGGCGGAAGCCUGAUGCAGCAACGCCGCGUGCGGGAUGACGGCCUUCGGGUUGUAAACCGCUUUCGCCUGUGGCGUAGCGUGAGUGACGGUAAUGGGUAAAGAAGCACCGGCUAACUACGUG